GUAAAACCAAAGACAGGCAGCCCGGCGCCAGGCCUGAAACCAGGCCUGGGCCUGCCUGGCCUAAACCCAGUAGUUAAAAAUCAACUCAUAACUUAGAAACUGAUGUUAUUCAUAGAUUCCAGACAUUGUAUAGAAGAACAUUGUGAAACUCCCUGUCCUGUUCUGUUUCUCUCUGACCACCGGUACAUGCAGCCCCUGUCAUGUACCGCCUGCUUGCUCAAAUCAAUCACGACCCUUUCAUGUGAAAUCUUUAGUGUUAUGAGCCCUUAAAAGGGACAGAAAUUGUGCAUUCGGGGAGCUUGGAUUUUAAGGCAGUACCUUGCCAAUGCUCCCAGCUGAAUAAAGCCCUUCCUUCUACAACUAGGUGUCUGAGAGGUUUUGUCUGCGACUCGUCCUGCUACAUUUCUUGGUUCCCUGACCAGGAAGCGAGGUGACUGACGGACGGCCGAGGCAGCCCCUUAGGUGGCUUAAGCCUGCCCUGUGGAGCAUCCCUGAGGGGGACUCUGGCCAGCCUGAGUGAUGUGGUCCGAAGAGCGCUUGGGUAGGAAAUUGCCCCUGUGGAAUGCCUCGUCAGAGCAGCGCAUAGCAGGCCCCCACGGAGGAUUAACACAGUGGCUGAACACUGGGAAGGAACUGGCCCUUGGAGUCCAGACAUCUGAAACUUGCUCUCAAGAGUUUGGGGUUUUUGAGGUUUGCCAUGGUACAUCAAUAGAAUAUCAAAUGACAGGAUAAGACCUAGAAGACAAAUGUAAAAUUCCAAAAUGCAUGCUGUGGAUGAAUGUAGCAAUAUGAGAUGAGUACUAUUUGGGAUGCAGAAAGCAAUAUUUAACUGAUCAGCUGCCACUCACAUCAUGAAUCAGAAGCAGCCUUAAAAGAAAGGAUCCCUUCUUGCUAUUUUGAAGGGAAAUAACUGAGUCCUUUGGAGCUGAAAAUGAAAAACUGAGUAGCUGGUGGAAGAAGCGAGAUGGGUUUGGAACUCACAGGCUAUGUUUCUGGAUGCAUCACAUUUGCAAGAGGGAAGUUUUGGUGUCCCUGUGGGUAUAUUAGCACUCCUUUACUCCAUUUCUCUGUAGCUACUCAAGCAAGUGACAAGUAAGUAUGUUGAGACCACAUGUGACAUAUAAAUUACAAGUUCUCCUGCCCCUCUAAAAGUUUAUUCAGCAUCAACCUUUGCACCAACACACUAAGGCAUAAUAGCUGAUAAUUUAUGAGUGUAAUUUGAAGGAAGCAAUUCUGUUUUGUGAUUAUGGUAGUAAAUAAAAGAUUCAAAUCCUCAUUGACACACCAUGAAAUUCAGCUUUACUUUUUUUUUUUUAACCUUGAUAUUGUUUAUGGAAAGAAGGCUGCAGAGUCCAAGAAAGGUGACAGAUAUGAAGAAAUGCAGUGGUUGCAAAGGACAAAGACAAUGGCAACACAAAUAAAAGAAAUUAUGAGAAGGAAAUAAAUAUUAAAAAAAAAACCCAAACGUUUGUUGAUGUAAACUGAAAAUAAAUUUGGAAUGAGCUGUGUGCACUUGGAAAUGAGAAGCUCUGUCCUGCACCAUGAAGGGCUUUGUGUGCAUCCAUGGGUUGCUUCUGCAUGCAGAAUGAGACUGGAACAAAAAAGAACCAUUUAAAACACAGGAUCCAGGUGAUUCAGGAUUUUAAAUUGAAGAUUGAUCAUACAAGCUGGAAGACGUCCCAUGACACUUUAUUUGAAAUUGGAACAUCAGAAUUUGGUUGGGUCUAUCUUUUACUAACUCUGUACCAUGAAAAAAUUAUUUAAUAUUUCUGAACUGUGUAAAGAAUAAAAUUAGAUUAUGAAUUCAAUCUGUUGCUGCAUAAUCAAUUACCUCCAAUCUUAGCAGCUUCAAACAACAAACAUAAAUAAACUUAGUUUCUGCAGCUCAGGAAUUCAGGAGUUUAGCUAGAUGGUUCUGGCUUGGAGUCUUCCAUGAGGUUGCCAUCUAGAGGUCAGCCAAGGCUGCAGUCAUUUGAAGGUUUGACUGGGGCUUGAGAAUUCACUCUCAUGGCUAGUCACAUGUUCACUUCUGUGUUGGCUGUUGGCAGGAAUUUUCAGAACCUUGCCAUGUGGGUCUCUCCAUAUGGCUGCUUAAGCAUCCUCAUGACACGUCAGCUGGUCUCCCCAGUGGGAGUGAUCGAAGAGACAGAAGCAAGAAUGUCUUCAAUGACCUACCCUUGUAAGUCACAUACCUCACUUUCACCUAAUCCUCAAAAGGAGAGAGUUAGACUCCACCUUUUGGAGGCAAGAAUGUCAAAGAAUUUGUGGACAUAUUUCAAAACCAUCACUGGAUCAUAUAUGUGAAAAUAAACACUUACAAAAAAUAAAGUGCUAUAAAUGGGAUACAUUCAGAUAAGGAACCCUUCUUUCAAUGCCAUCCCAGAAUUCCCUCAGCUUAAUUCUCCCAGAAGCUUCAAGACCUUCUAAAAUUGUUUGGGCUUGGUCUUUAUAGUCUGGAGGCACCAAAAGCCUGAGAUUUGUAUAGAUUAAGGAAGAAUCAGAAUCUAAGAGACAUUAAAUGACUAGCCAAAGAUCACACUGCUAGUUGGUGGAAGUCCGAGGAGUUUGUCCUAAGUGUGCCUAACUUCAAAUCCCCUCAUCUUAAUCAUUGUGUCACAUCAUGUCAUAAAAAUGGAUGAAAGAAGAAAGAAGACACAAACACCCAGUAUUAUUUUAGGACAAUUUCAUGGCAUUAAGUGUGGAUUUUCGUUUUAGCUAACAUUUUCAUGAAGGAAAAUCUUUGAGGAUGUUCUCUCCAUUAAAAAAAGAAGGAAAAAAACUCAAGAUAAUUAUAGAUUUACAUGCAGUUGUAAAAGUUAGUAAUGUAAAGAGAAGGCUUGUACACUUUGCCUAAUUUCCCCAGUGGUAACUUUUUUAGAGCUAUAGUAUGAUAUCACAACCAGGAUAUUGACAUCAGUCAAUCCACUGAUCUUAUUCAGUUUUCCUAAGUUUACUCUUUAAUGUGUGUGUGAAGUUCUACACAAUUUUAUUACUCGUAUAAGUUCGUGUAUCAUCACCCUGGUUAAAAUACUGAGGGGUUCCAGUGCCACAAGGAUCCCUCCUAUUCUUUUUGAGCCACACCCAUUCCCCUUCUUCCCCAAUUUCUCCACCUCCCUUUCUAACUAUCUGCCACUAGUCUGUCCUCCAUUUCUAAAAUUUUGUCAUUUCAAAAAUUUAAUAUAAGUGGAAUUAUGUAGUAUACAACAAUUUGGAGUUUUGUUUUUGCUCAACAUGAUUUCCUAAAGAUUCAUUCAAGUAGUUCUGUAUAUCGAUAGUGUAUUUCUUUUUAUUGCUGAGUAGUAUUACAAUUUUGUUUAACCAUUCAACUCUUUUUUGUUAGUUUCUUUUUGUUUUUGAGAUGGAGUCUGUUGCCCAGGCUGGAAUGCAGCAGCGCGAUCUCUGCUCACAGCAACCUCUGCCUCCUGUGUUCAAGCUAUUCUCCAGCCUCAGCCUCCUGAGUAGCUGAGAUUACAGGCGUGAGCCACAGCGCCCACCCUAGCCAUUCAACUCUGAAGCACAUCUGGGUUGAUACCAGUUUUGGGCUGUUACAAUAAAACUUCUAUGAACAUUCACGCACAAAUUUUUGUGGGAACAUACGUUUUCAUUUCUCUAGGAUAGAUGUACAGGAAUAAAAUUCUGGGUCAUAUGGUAGUUGCAUGUUUAAAUAUUUAAGAAACUGCUAAACUGCUUUCCAGAGUGUCUGUACCAUUUCACAGUCCUAAAAGCGAUGUAUGAAUGAUCCAGUUUCACCAUUUCCUCAUCAGCAUUUGGUGUUGUAAUUCUCAUUUUAAUAAUGCUUAUAGAUGUGUGGUGAUAUCUCAUUAUGGUGUUCAUUUGUAUUUCUCUAAUGACCAAUAAAUAUUUAACAUAUUUCCAUGUGCCUGCUUUUUUGCCAUUUUAUAUCCUCUUUGGUCUAUAAUGCCUUUUGUCCAUUUUCUAAUUAAAUAUUUAUGUAUUGUUGAGUUUUCAGAGUUCUUUAUAUAUUCUAGAUAUUAUUCCUUUGUCAGCUAUGUGGUUUUAAAAUAUUUAUUUCUAUCUUGUAGCUUGUAAUUUCAUUUUCCUCACGUGGACUUUCACAAAGCAAGUGUUUUUAUUUUUGAUAAAAUCAGAUUUGUCAAGUUUUCCUUCUGUGGAUCAUGAUUUUGUUGUCAAGUCCAAUAACUGUCUGCCUAGCUCCAGAUCCCAAAGUUUGCUCCUGUG
This 4200-nucleotide long non-coding RNA is filed under the name Homo sapiens (human). Its description in RNAcentral is "HSALNT0056303". Lineage: Eukaryota; Metazoa; Chordata; Mammalia; Primates; Hominidae. The record is from RNAcentral.